Molecule: RNA transcript, 2856 nt
Organism: Trifolium pratense (red clover)
Lineage: Eukaryota; Viridiplantae; Streptophyta; Magnoliopsida; Fabales; Fabaceae
Gene name: FBD-associated F-box protein At5g56370-like
Exons: 5
Source: RefSeq, a predicted model, not a curated record
GCACCAUUUUCUACAAAUCAGAUUUAAUCACACCUCUGCAAAGAAGAAGAAGAAGAAGAAAUGCAGCGACCGAGAAUUUCAUCACCGACGGAUACAAUCAGCACUUUACCGGACGAAAUCCUUUGCCGAAUUCUCUCUUUCCUCACAACCAAACAAUCAGUUGCAACAACCGUUUUGUCCAAACGGUGGACUCAUCUAUGGCACCAUGUUCCCGUUCUUCACUUCCCUCACAUCACAAUCAACACCGUCGAAUCCAAUUUCCGUUUCAACGAAUCUGUUUACUCCGUUUUAACCUCUCGCGACACCGCCGCAGCCUCUCAUUUCAUAGACACUUUCCAUCUCGAUAUUCAAUACGGUAAUUCUCAUCUUGCUUAUAAUUUAGGGUUUCCCAAUGUCACCAAAUGGAUCAACCUUAUUGUUCAACGAAAACUUAAAUAUCUUCAUUUGAAUCUCCAUGUGCCACUUCCUUAUAAUUUUGUUGGUUUUCCAUAUCACCCGAAAUUGCCUGUUAGUAUCUUCACCUGUAGAACACUUGUAAGUCUUAAUCUCCGUUGGUUUCGUGUCGAGGAUUUUUCUUUUUCUUCAAAUGGAUUUCAAUUUCCCUCACUCAAAACUCUUCAUUUGAGAUUCGUUAAGUUUUCAGAAGUUCGAGAUUUUAUGUUGCUUUUAACUGGAUGUCCAAUUCUUGAGGAUUUGAAAGCUUCUCAUAUAUACUUCUUUUGUGCGGAAGAUUCUGUUACUGUUCAAGAGUUUAAGAGAUUAACCUUACCUAAAUUGAUUAGAGCUGAUGUGAGUCAAUGUUGGUGUUCGUGUUAUAUGGCGAAAGCACUUUCUACUUCGGUGUCUCUCUGCAUAGAAACAUCCUGGUUGUUGUGCACAAAAGACUACAGAGUUUACAAGGUGAAUAAACUGAAGCCGCCUUCUGAUGACAUUCCCAUCUUUCAUAAUUUAACGCACUUGAAGCUCCACAAUAAUUGGGAUUUGGUACUACAAGUACUCCACCAUUGCCCCAAGCUUCAAAAUCUUCAACUUUAUCAGGGGUUAUACGAGGCAAUGUUGAAUGAAGAAGAUGAUCAAGAAAAUUGGGUGGAACCAAAACUUGUUCCCCAAUGCCUUUCAUCAUACCUUAGAACUUGUACUAUUCAACACUUAUCAGGCCCAAAAUUUGAACUCAUGUUAGCCAAAUAUAUUUUGAAAAAUGCAAGACUUUUGCAAACCAUGACAAUCUGGACCACAAGGGAACUGCCUGAAAUUGAAAGGAAGUUGUCCCCAUGCCCAAAGGCCUCUGCAACAUGUCAACUUUCAUUUAUGGAUAGCGUAUAGACUAUUUGUAUGCGGAAUUCAGAUUUAACGCCAAGUGUUUUAAGAACCAAGGUAUUAAAUAAAUAUUAUGUUAUUGUGAUCUAGGCCACAACAUCAAGGUUCUGUUAUUGAGGCCGCACCAACAGCAUUUGACUGCGGUUCUUUGCAAUAACAAAGAUUGUGACACAAUCAUGACCAUUAUCCCAACAACAUUUUAAAACACCUUUCCAAUGAAGCUUUUUCCUUUUAUGCACUUUCGAAGCAAACAAAAAGGAAAUUGAUUAAGUAAGGUUAAUGGAACUUUCACGUGGUAAUCCGUGAAUUUGUUGUCUCACUGAAAUAUGUCAUGUUAUUUUCCUAACUGUUUAUACGUCAGCUUUUCUAACUGUUUAUACGUCAGCAGGAAUUGCAUUAGUUUUUUUUUCCUUCUUUUGAGGAAUGAAACUGCAUUAGCUUUAAUUCUCAUUGGAAGAUUUGAGCCUCAGGAAACGGCUGAGUCUUGGUGGUUACUUGAAAGGAGAAAGACAGGCUUUUGACGAUUUCACACUGAUGCAUGAUUUAGCACUGAUUAGGAACACCAUGUAUAUAGAAUGCCCAAAACUUCACCUCUCUAUCUGCGAUCUCUCUCUCGCUCACCUUUCAGCUUCAAAUAUUGGAAUACUCCUGAUUAAAUGUUUUCUUUAUAUUCUCUCCCACUUUCAGUCUUGCCCUAGAUUUUUCCCUUUCCAUCUCUUUCGCCGGCGAGAAAAAAUGGUGGAAGAUCUGCCUUUGCAUUCUCACAUUGUAUAUCAUGGCAAUCCUCUGAAUCCAUUUAAGAUAUUAAACCUUGUACUUAGCCGUAAUUCCGCUGCCUUGUUAUUUUUUGCUAGACAAUAAUAAAAUAGUAGCUCCCCCAUCUGAAACAAUCCAUUGUUAAUAAGCUUGGAUUUUGCAUUGCAUCUAUAGCCAUUAGAAUCCAUGUCUUCCAUGCCUAGGACAAAAGCCAAUGAGUUUUGUGAACUAUCAGAAGAUCUUUAGCUAAACAUAGUGACAACAAUCCAGUACUGCAGCUGUUCCACUUAGACUGACCCUCUUAAUGUUGCUUUGAAAUCCAAACUUGUUAAUGCAUGGUGUGAGAGGGAGAAUGGAACAAUUUGACACAAAGAUGUAAAUGCUCUUAAGAUGUAUAGUGUUUCGAAAGAAGAACCACCAAAUUCAACUCUGUUUUUAGUAAAAUACCAGGGGGAGCUCAUGAACAACUGCUUCUGGCAUGCAAACCUCAACUCCAAUAUCAGAUCUUUCCAGUACUUUUGUCUUUGGAAUCAAAGUCUAUGGUUUCUUGGUCAAAUUUUCACAAUUGCAAGUGUUCCUUGAAAUGGGAGUGCGACUCUAAAUUAUUAUCAAGAGACAAAUAUAACAGACAUGGUCAAGAAAAUAAUGUUAUGACUGCUGAUGAUUCUGUCACAUGGACGUGUAACUAUAUGAAUAACUUUCUGUUUUUUCUUCCUUAAAAGAAACAAAGUAUUUGUAACAAAUAGGAAAUUUCCAUUUGCAACCUAAACUGGAUUACAAUAA